CGGCGGACGGGUGGAGUAACGCGUGGACAACCUGCCCUAUGCAGGGGGAUAACAUCCGGAAACGGGUGCUAAUACCGCAUAAGCGCACAGUACCGCAUGGUACAGUGUGAAAAGCUGAGGCGGCAUAGGAUGGGUCCGCGUUGGAUUAGGCAGUUGGCGGGGUAACGGCCCACCAAACCGACGAUCCAUAGCCGGCCUGAGAGGGUGGACGGCCACAUUGGGACUGAGACACGGCCCAGACUCCUACGGAAGGCAGCAG
RNAcentral lists this ribosomal RNA (259 nucleotides) under uncultured bacterium. RNAcentral's name for it is "partial 16S ribosomal RNA". It matches the Rfam family "Bacterial small subunit ribosomal RNA", at positions 96 to 354 of the family's 1533-position model. The record is from RNAcentral.